RNAcentral lists this small RNA (66 nucleotides) under uncultured Enterobacter sp. RNAcentral's name for it is "Salmonella enterica sRNA STnc40". It matches the Rfam family "Salmonella enterica sRNA STnc40". The record is from RNAcentral. Lineage: Bacteria; Pseudomonadati; Pseudomonadota; Gammaproteobacteria; Enterobacterales; Enterobacteriaceae.
CAGUGCCAUGGCCGUCUGAGCUAAGCACAACGAAAAUGAAAAGGCGCAGAACUCUGCGCCUUUUUU